AGGAGCAACAGCCCUAGUAACGGGGCCGCUCUGGAAACCUGGAUUCAGCCCCCGCAGGAACUCCGGAGGUCUCCGUCUGCAGGGCCUGGAGGCUCCGGGGUGGG
Molecule: microRNA precursor, 104 nt
Filed under: Canis lupus familiaris (dog)
Lineage: Eukaryota; Metazoa; Chordata; Mammalia; Carnivora; Canidae
Description: mir-8834 microRNA precursor family
Rfam family: mir-8834 microRNA precursor family
Source: Rfam by way of RNAcentral